CAAAAGCUUGGUCCUGACUUUAACACCAACUGCAGCUCACAUUACACAUGCAAGUAUCAGCCCGCCAGUGAAAAUGCCCAUAUAAGCCACACAGAAUAUAAGGAGCCGAUAUCAGGCACAACAAUUUAGCCAGAGACGUCUUGCUCAGCCACACCCCUAAGGGCCUACAGCAGUGAUAAACAUUGAAAGUAUGAGCACUAAAGCUCGACUCAGCUACAGCUACUAGGGCCGGUCAACCUCGUGCCAGCCACCGCGGUUAUACGAAGGACCCAAGCUGGUGCAACUACGGCGUAAAGAGUGACUAGCACAAUAACUCUUCAACUUAAGGUUAAGCCCUGACUUAGCCGUUAUACGCUUUAGUCGGCCACAAACCCAUUAUACGAAAGCAGCCUUAAGCCCAAGAUGCCCUCAAUGUCACGACCACCGAGACACAAACUGGGAUUAGAUACCCCACUAUGCUCAGUCCCAAACUUUUAAAAUACACAAACCCCCGCCAGGGUACUACGAGCAACAGCUUGAAACCCAAAGGACUUGGCGGUGCCCCACCCACUCAGAGGAGCCUGUUCUGUAAUCGACACCCCCCGCUAAACCUCACCUUCCCUUGCUAAUUCAGCCUAUAUACCACCGUCAUGUCAGCCUACCUUGUGAAAGAUAUAACAGUAAGCAAAAUGAAUCCAUCCAUACGUCAGGUCAAGGUGUAGCACAUGGGACGGGAAGAAAUGGGCUACAUUUUCUUAUAAAGAAUACACGGAUAAGCUAAAUGAAAACAACUUUGAAGGCGGAUUUGACAGUAAAAAGAAACAAUUUACAUUCUCUUUAAACCGGCCCUGGGGCGCGCACACACCGCCCGUCACCCUCAUCAAACACGCAUUUUUAACUAAAUAAAACCUAAAGCACCCACCCGAGAAGAGGUAAGUCGUAACAUGGUAAGCGCACCGGAAGGUGCUCUUGGAAUUAAA
This 959-nucleotide non-coding RNA is filed under the name Epicrionops cf. marmoratus UMMZ 190478. Its description in RNAcentral is "12S ribosomal RNA". The stretch from base 95 to 957 matches the Rfam family "Bacterial small subunit ribosomal RNA". Lineage: Eukaryota; Metazoa; Chordata; Amphibia; Gymnophiona; Rhinatrematidae. The record is from RNAcentral.